UACGUAGGGUCCGAGCGUUGUCCGGAAUUAUUGGGCGUAAAGGGCUCGUAGGCGGUUUGUCACGUCGGGAGUGAAAACUCAGGGCUUAACCCUGAGCGUGCUUCCGAUACGGGCUGACUAGAGGGAUGCAGGGGAGAACGGAAUUCCUGGUGUAGCGGUGGAAUGCGCAGAUAUCAGGAGGAACACCGGUGGCGAAGGCGGUUCUCUGGGCAGUUUCCUGACGCUGAGGAGCGAAGCAUGGGGAGCGAACAGG
RNAcentral lists this ribosomal RNA (253 nucleotides) under uncultured bacterium. RNAcentral describes it as "partial 16S ribosomal RNA". It matches the Rfam family "Bacterial small subunit ribosomal RNA", at positions 524 to 776 of the family's 1533-position model. The record is from RNAcentral.